GACGAACGCUGGCGGCGUGCUUAACACAUGCAAGUCGAACGGAAAGGCCCUGCUUUUGUGGGGUGCUCGAGUGGCGAACGGGUGAGUAACACGUGAGUAACCUGCCCUUGACUUUGGGAUAACUUCAGGAAACUGGGGCUAAUACCGGAUAGGAGCUCCUGCUGCAUGGUGGGGGUUGGAAAGUUUCGGCGGUUGGGGAUGGACUCGCGGCUUAUCAGCUUGUUGGUGGGGUAGUGGCUUACCAAGGCUUUGACGGGUAGCCGGCCUGAGAGGGUGACCGGCCACAAUGGGACUGAGAGACGGCCCAGACUCCUACGGGAGGCAGCAGUGGGGAAUAUUGCACAAUGGGCGGAAGCCUGAUGCAGCAACCCCGCGUGCGGGAUGACGGCCUUCGGGUUGUAAACCGCUUUCGCCGGUGACGAGGCGUGAGUGACGGUAAUGGGUAAGGAAGCACCGGCUAACUACGUG
This 468-nucleotide ribosomal RNA is filed under the name uncultured bacterium. RNAcentral describes it as "partial 16S ribosomal RNA". It matches the Rfam family "Bacterial small subunit ribosomal RNA", at positions 28 to 507 of the family's 1533-position model. The record is from RNAcentral.